UACAGGGGGUGCUAGCGUUGUUCGGAAUUACUGGGCGUAAAGGGUGCGUAGGCGGGUCUUUAAGUCAGGGGUGAAAUCCUGGAGCUCAACUCCAGAACUGCCUUUGAUACUGAAGAUCUUGAGUCCGGGAGAGGUGAGUGGAACUGCGAGUGUAGAGGUGAAAUUCGUAGAUAUUCGCAAGAACACCAGUGGCGAAGGCGGCUCACUGGCCCGGUACUGACGCUGAGGCACGAAAGCGUGGGGAGCAAACAGG
This 253-nucleotide ribosomal RNA is filed under the name uncultured bacterium. RNAcentral describes it as "partial 16S ribosomal RNA". It matches the Rfam family "Bacterial small subunit ribosomal RNA", at positions 524 to 776 of the family's 1533-position model. The record is from RNAcentral.